AGCAGAGAAAGGGCUUAUACCCAGUCUCUGACCUUGAACUGCCUUCUCUGUCAGCAUUCCCGGAACUUACGGCUGGGUGGGUUUCUGGGAAAGGCACUACAAGUUGAAAUGAGGGGCUAAAGAAUGGAUUCCUCACUUUUCCCAGUGGAACUAUUGUACACACGAAAGCAGAUGCCAUUGCUGACCCGAGCCUGUUCUUCUAGAAAGAGUGAUGUCAUGGACCGUGUGACUGAUGGACUUGCCAGCGGGAGGCGUCGUGUUGCAGACGUGUCUGGGAGAACGGUGAAGAGCCUUCAGACGCCGACCUCCACCCUCGGCAUUGGAGAAAGAGAUUUAUUUUGCUAAAGAAAAUCAAGGAAAGCAUUCUCUCUCCUGGCCAGACAGUGGACUAAUGGUCAGAAGAGGUGUAGUGGAUUCUAAAAGGAAUAACAUUCAUGAAAGUGCAUCUUACACUACAUAAGUUCUCUCGAAAGUUCUGCACAUGUGCAGCCAUUAAGAUUUCAUGGAGAUGGUAAUAUAUAAACUAGAUGUUAAAGAAUAG
This 541-nucleotide long non-coding RNA is filed under the name Equus caballus (horse). Its description in RNAcentral is "lncRNA (ENSECAG00000050180.1)". The record is from RNAcentral. Lineage: Eukaryota; Metazoa; Chordata; Mammalia; Perissodactyla; Equidae.